CUUUACGGCCAUACCACCCUGAACAUGCCCGAUCUCGUCCGAUCUCGGAAGCUAAGCAGGGUCGGCCUGGUUAGUACUUGGAUGGGAGACCGCCUGGGAAUACCAGGUGCUGUAAGCU
RNAcentral lists this ribosomal RNA (118 nucleotides) under Labrus bergylta (ballan wrasse). The record is from RNAcentral. Lineage: Eukaryota; Metazoa; Chordata; Actinopteri; Labriformes; Labridae.